AAGACUAUACUUUCAGGGAUCAUUUCUAUAGUUUGUUACUAGAGAAACUCCACUGAUUGUGUAGAGCACCGAGAACCACGAUGAAGAGAUAUAGUGUUCUCUCCUGAGCGUGAAGCUGGCACUUGGUGAUGCUUUUGGGCAUCUGCCUCUUGCCAUUGAUGAUCGUUCUUCCUUCGCUUUUGGCGCAGUGAGAGGGAGAGAACACAUUCGGAGUGGU
This is a small nucleolar RNA of Perognathus longimembris pacificus (Pacific pocket mouse), 217 nucleotides long. RefSeq annotates it as small nucleolar RNA U3. Lineage: Eukaryota; Metazoa; Chordata; Mammalia; Rodentia; Heteromyidae. The record is from RefSeq and is a predicted model, not a curated record. The transcript has a single exon.